Non-coding RNA from Podarcis muralis (Common wall lizard), 1131 nucleotides. The record is from RefSeq and is a predicted model, not a curated record. NCBI's taxonomy places the organism in Eukaryota, Metazoa, Chordata, Lepidosauria, Squamata, Lacertidae.
GAAAGAAUCCUGGAAGCAACCAAAUAUAUGAAAGUACAACGAAGCAGAUCCUGUAAAGGGAAAGUAAAAGAUGAUAACAUUGACAGAAUUAAGCAUUCCAAAUAUGCUCGUAGUGUUAAGGUAGGUGCUGUUAUUUUAACUGUUAACGUAAGCAAUAUAGGACUACUAUGUUGAAUUAAAUAUCUGUUUUUGAAAAGGCAAGGAAAACUCUCAGUUUCUGAGUCAGUUUCUCCAUGAAUGCUAUACACCACACCUUGUGAUACCAAUAAACACAAAUCUUUCCAAUGUUUGACCAGAGUCAACCCAGCUGCCAUCAAUUAAGUGGUUAAUUAGGUCCUGAUCUUUGAGGUCUGCACCUGUGUUUAGUGCAAGCUUUUGAGUUCCCCAGGGCUCUUCAUCUGGGUAAAUGGUGAACAGAGCAAGCGAGGGAGGAGAGGAAGAAAGUUUGCUGAGUUGAAGCCACAGAAUCUUCAUCAUUUAGGAGACCUAAGAUGGAAACAGCAAGAAGGGACCAGCACUCCUUGCUCUAACCCAGGAGGCAAGUCUGUGAUCUAUGUUUAUCACUAAUCUAGACCACAUUUCUGCACUGAAGAUGACGAUGUUGAUGCAGUAUCUACUGAUUUCCCCCAGAAACUGUAAAUCUGGAGUCAAUGAGGAAGGAACUUGCCUGCAUGAGAAGCAUUGGUCAACAACUCUCUGGAAGUAUCCUUGGGAACCAAAGAGCAAAUACAAGAAAGAGAGAGGAUUUUCCAGACACCUGCCAGGCUUCUGACAGACCACAUGAUCAUUUCAGAGCCGAGAUGGAGUGGGGGAGGAUGUGGAUCAUGUGUGCUGGAGACAACAUCCUAUGUGUUCGGAAAGGAAAUCGAACUUUAGCAGAGGAGCCACUGUGCCGGAUGUUUUUGAGAAGUUUAAUCAAAAUUCUCAUCAGAAACCAAAUGAGAGGGUUCUUCAGAAAGAACAACCACCCAGUGUGAUUUACUUCAUCAGAUUAAGCGACUGAGGCCACAUCAGUCCAUUCAUGCUGUGUUGGUUGGGCUGCAAGUUCACCAGGCUACUGAUGGGCCCGUUUCCUGCUUCUCCAUUCAGGUUGACUGCAGUGACGUUGGGAGGAGUAAUUGCUGCCGCCGC